This 926-nucleotide ribosomal RNA is filed under the name uncultured marine bacterium. Its description in RNAcentral is "bacterial SSU rRNA". It matches the Rfam family "Bacterial small subunit ribosomal RNA", at positions 61 to 984 of the family's 1533-position model. The record is from RNAcentral.
GUCGAGCGAGAAAGUUUCUUCGGAAGCGAGUAAAGCGGCGGACGGGUGAGUAACGCGUAGGAAUCUACCAUUCAGUGGGGGAUAGCUCGGGGAAACCCGAAUUAAUACCGCAUAUACCCUAAGGGGGAAAGAGGGCCUAUCCUUGGAAGCUCUUGCUGUUUGAUGAGCCUGCGUGAGAUUAGUUUGUUGGUGAGGUAAUGGCUCACCAAGACUACGAUCUCUAGCUGGUCUGAGAGGACGAUCAGCCACACUGGGACUGAGACACGGCCCAGACUCCUACGGGAGGCAGCAGUGGGGAAUAUUGGACACUGGGGGCAACCCUGAUCCAGGCAUGCCGCGUGUGUGAAGAAGGCCUUCGGGUUGUAAAGCACUUUAGGUAAGGAAGAAAAGUUAUUGGUUAAUACCCAAUGACCAUGACAUUACUUACAGAAUAAGGACCGGCUAACUCCGUGCCAGCAGCCGCGGUAAUACGGAGGGUCCAAGCGUUAAUCGGAAUUACUGGGCGUAAAGCGCGCGUAGGCGGUUUGACAAGUUGGGUGUGAAAUCCCCGGGCUUAACCUGGGAACUGCAUUCAAAACUUUUAAACUGGAGUACGGGAGAGGAGAGUAGAAUUCAUGGUGUAGCGGUGAAAUGCGUAGAUAUCAUGAGGAAUACCAAUGGCGAAGGCAACUCUCUGGACCGUAACUGACGCUGAGGUGCGAAAGCGUGGGUAGCAAACAGGAUUAGAUACCCUGGUAGUCCACGCCGUAAACGAUGACAACUAGCCGUUGGACUUUCGAGUUCAGUGGCACAGCUAACGCAUUAAGUUGUCCGCCUGGGGAGUACGGCCGCAAGGCUAAAACUCAAAUGAAUUGACGGGGGCCCGCACAAGCGGUGGAGCAUGUGGUUUAAUUCGAUGCAACGCGAAAAACCUUACCAACCCUUGA